CAGAGCUCCGCCGGUCUGAGCUCAGCUUUCCCGCCGGUCUCCCCGAAAGUGAGAGGGUUUCAUAUAGCGCAAGCCCCCUCCUGGUCGCCCCUAGAGUCCCCUUUUUCUGGUGCCUCGUAGGGAUGCUUUUGGUGGUCCUCGUGCUCCUGCUGCCCACAGUCUCCGAUGCCUGUGGUGAUCCACCAAGGUUUGAAACUAUGAGGCUCCAGGGUGCGCCUAAACCCAGGUAUCGUCCUGGGGAACGUAUACAAUAUGACUGUCGCCUAGGUUUCAAGCCCAUAAUUCCUCUUCGUUCCAGAUCUGCUGUUUGUGAGGAUGACAAUACAUGGUCAGCUCUCGAGGAGGCCUGUACAAGAAAAUCAUGUCCUAAUCUGGGAGAUCCAAUGAAUGGUCAAGUUUACUUCGUCAAUGGAAGUAUUCUGUUUGGUUCACAGGCUCACUUUGUUUGUAAUCAGGGUUUUUAUCUGAUUGGAGCAAGAAUUCUACAUUGUGAAAUUUCUGAAAACAAUGUGAACUGGAAUGAUAAUUCCCCAACAUGUGAAAAGAUCUUGUGUUCCACACCUGGAAAUAUAAAAAAUGGAAGAUUUACCAUUUACAAGGAUGAAUAUCAAUAUAAUGAAAUAGUAACUUAUAUGUGUGAUCCUUCAAAUGGAUCAGAUGAAUAUUCUCUUGUUGGAGAGAGCAGGCUUGUUUGUGUCGAUCAUGACAGAUGGAGCAGUGACCCUCCGGCGUGUAAAGUGGUCAAAUGUGACUAUCCAGUUGUUGAACAUGGAAUGAUAGUAUCAGGAUUUAGAAGAAAAUUUUACUACAAAAUGCAAGUUGUAUUUAAAUGUAACCAGGGUUUCUCCCUUCAUGGCAACAGCACAGUUGUCUGUAACGCAAACAGUGCUUGGGAGCCCGAGAUACCAACGUGUGCUCAAGUGCCACUUGCUGCUACGACUAAGCCUUCAACUACCCAUGCCUCAGGUCCUCGUCCAAAUACAACUACAGUGUCAAGUUCAACAGGUCUUCGUCCAGCUACAACUACAACAUCAAGUCAUGCAGCACAUGUGUCUCCAACGGUUGACUUAGAGCCUGACUCCUUUGAGGACUUCGAUGCAGCAGUCAUUGGUGUGAUUAUUCUUUCUGUGCGUAUCUGAGAUUUCCUGUCAGCAUUUUAAGAGGCAUUCUGUGAGGACUGUUCCGCGUGGAGAUAUAUUUUCGAUGUGUCCGAGGAAGGAGGGUUGAUGGAAACUAAGGACCAAAGUAGACAACGCCUGCAUCUCUCCUAACGUAGCUGAAUUCAUCAGCGCACCUCUAGGGGCCACGUGAGUCCAGGCUCAGUUGAGCGAAGGUUUCUGCGGGAACGCUGACGGCAGAGGCUCCGGGGCUGCAGCCUGUUUGGGACUGAGGUCAGUUUCCCCUUCAACUCGGGUCUGCAACGCUUCUCUAUCAUCUUUUUUCUCAUUUUAUGUCUUGGCUCAUUGAAUUUCUUUCUUGUCUUAACGUACUACAUUUUUAAUAUCUGUUUGCUGUAACCGACUUUGAACUCUUUAUGAAGUAGGUAAUAUUGGCAUAUAACAA
Molecule: non-coding RNA, 1563 nt
Organism: Odocoileus virginianus texanus
Lineage: Eukaryota; Metazoa; Chordata; Mammalia; Artiodactyla; Cervidae
Source: RefSeq, a predicted model, not a curated record